This 15222-nucleotide long non-coding RNA is filed under the name Coffea arabica (coffee). RNAcentral's name for it is "long non-coding RNA (CARA_LNC004076)". Lineage: Eukaryota; Viridiplantae; Streptophyta; Magnoliopsida; Gentianales; Rubiaceae. The record is from RNAcentral.
GAAUCCCAUUUUACGGAUAUGCUUGGCGAUUGGUAAACGCGAAUAAUCAUGGGAUCCUGGCUCCGGCAAAUGGAGCUGCCGGUCCGGAUAAUGGAGUCGAGCGGUACCAAGAUAUAAGGACCUUUGUAGCUCAAACCCCGGGGGCGGUUGUGGUGUAUAAUUCCACAUAUGUCUGCAAUUACUGCUAUGCUGGAACAACAUGGAUCGGUUAUGAUGAUAAUCAAACAGUUUCCACCAAGGUUUCAUAUGCUAAACAAAAUGGACUUCUUGGGUACUUUGCUUGGCAUAUUGGAGCUGAUGACAACUUGGCACUAUCACGACAAGGUUAGUUAAUGGAGUGAUUCCAAGAUAAGCAAUUCCCUGUCUGAUUACAUUUAUCAUUUAUGGAGAAAAUGACCUCAUACGCCCUGAAAAAUUGAGUCUCUAAGGGUCCGUUUGUUUCAGGUGAAAAUGUUUUCCAGGAAAAUAUUUUCCUAAUUUCCCGUGUUUGGUUGCACAAAAGUUAUUGAAAACAUUUUCCUCUGUAAAAUAUUUUCACUCAUCUUAUGGAAAACAACUUCCCUUCCAAACUUACUGAAGUUAUUUUCCGAAAUGCAUGCAUCCCGCCUGUAAUAUAUUCCAAACUUACUGAAAACAUCUUGUAGUAUGUUCUUUUUUUUUUGUUAGUGUAAACAGGAGGAUUCGAACCCAAGAUCUCUUCCUUACAUUCCCUCCCCCGUAUCACCCAACCCAACCCUCCUCCUAGUAUAUUCAAAAAAAAAAAAAAAAAAUCUCAUCCUGCUCAUCCUAUGCUAGUAAUUAAUUAUGUAUAAUAGAGACAUUCUUUUCUAGAGAAACUUUCAGUAGUGAGAGUGCAAGAUAUAUGUCACAAUAAGCAUUGCAUGUGAUUGAUAUUUGAUACUAAAUGACCAGCAAUUUGUUUAUUACUUAAGGAGAUAUUUUUUUAUUCAUGUAUACAUUUCUCCAAGAUUUUUUCAAAAUUAAACAAUGAAAUAAAUUUUCUUAUUUUGCAUGGGAAGAAGUAUGUAGUUAUAAUGUGUAGAAAGUAAAGAUAGAUAUAAAAGUGAAAAUAUUUCAAAAGUUAAACAAACACCAGAAAAAUGAAGUAAGAAAAUAUUUUCAAUAAGUUAACCAAACACCUGAAAAUGAUGAAAGGGAAAUGAUUUUCAUGGAAAAUUACUUCCACGGAAAAUAUUUUCCCAAGGAAAACAUUUUACUUCCAACCAAACAGACUCUAAGUGUACCUAAUAACUGGCUAUGGAACAUUGUCCAUCGAGCUAAUAUUUUCCUGUGCCUAGAAUUGAAUGUAUGUUUUUUGGAAUUUUUUCAUUUACAACAUUUAAGAAGUACCCUUUUUAGCAAAUGGUAUUUGCAGUCCUUACAUAAUAUUUCUCUGGUAUUAUACCUUUUUUCUUGUAACAAAAUGCUAAAAGUGGAGUCUAAAAAACUAUUUUUGAAGUGCAAAUAUCUCUUACCUUUUUUUUUUAACUUGUUCAUUUGUAUAUACAUCAACAAUAUCUCAAAGUUUCUACAAUUCUCAUAUUUGUUACUAACACUUAUUUUUUACUUGAAUGUAGCUAGCCAAGCAUGGGGAGCAUGAAGUGGUGGUGGAAGUCAUUUGACGUUCCUUAUAAUAAGCCAAAAGAGAACUGGCAUUGUUGAAUAAUAAUAUCAUUGAUAUGUGUACUCCAUCAAAGUAUAAAUAAAUGCCUUAGAGUUUGAAAAAUGAUUUUCGUCCUGUGGAGACAAAUUGCAAACUGGCAUCUGGCUAAAUCAAGGAUUAGGCCUUAAGCCUUUCUGACUAAGUAAGGCGAAGAAAGCAAAUAGAAAUCGAAACAAUUAAAAGAAUGUGUUGCCGUGUCAAGAUCAUCUUAUAUUGACUUGAUAUGCUUGUCAAAAUAUAUGACACCGUCAUAGGAGAAUUGAUAUCCAGUAUGAAGAAGUCCAGGCUUUUCAAUUAAUUGACUGGUCAUUAGAGUAAAUUGAGAAUUAAGACAUUCGCUAAUGGAUAUAGAUUGACAAAAGUUGUUAGUUGUUAACCAUACUUUGCCCGACUGAAGUAAGGGGUUCAUCACACUUUGCCCAUAAAGAACAAAUUGAAUAUGUAGCAACGGACAUUAACUUUUUAACAUCCUAAAAGCAUGUGAAUUUUUUGUUUUUUUUUUCUUCCAGUUUUGCGUCAAAAUGAUUCCUAACCAAAGGCUAGGCUACUUCAGUAGCCGUUCCCUAACACUUGCAGAAGAUGGUCAAAGCGGCAAAAAUUCUCAAAAUUUAGCAAAACAAUCGCAGUCUUACUUUUGCAUUUUCUAUUUUUUGAAGGAAAAGAUACUGAGCCAAAGCAGUAAAAGAAGGAAUUUUGCUGGUCAUCUAGCAUUGGCACUUCUAUUCUUGAAAGGCCAAGAGCAUCUGUGAGGGAAGCCAGAUAUUAUUUUGACUUCAAUAGCUAUAGCACCUCUAAAAUUACUUGCAUGGAUCUUCUAGCCGCAUCAAUCUGUUUAAAUUUUCGUUUUCUUUUGUUUGUGCCUUGUAGUUCCACUACAGGAAAAUAGGCUUUUUGUGACGUUUUCGCUGCGGCACAAGAAGAAAAUGCAGCAAAUAAAGAGCACAUUUCAAAUUGUGUGGCAAGGUUGAUAAAGGGGCAUAAUUUUUGUGGCAAAACGACGUAGUUUUAAUAAAUCCAGAGUAAAGAAAAGGGAAAACGCCUUUCACUUCCAAUGUCUCCUUCAUUCUCCGCUAAUUUCAAAACCCCCCACUUCUUUCUUCUAAACUCUAAAUUCUGAUUCCAAAUUCCCAAUGACCUUGUCUCGCUUUCUGUCUCUCUCUCUCAAAUGGUCAAAUCUAAUUCCACCUCCUCCAUUUUCCACCCAAUACAGCCAACGAAUAUGCGGCAACCACCUUCAUCUUUGAGAUACAGAGGAAAUCUGGAAGAGUAGACAGAUUGAUUGCUAAUUGGUUUUGACGCCUGAAGCUAGGGUUUUAACGCGAGGAAGAUGGACCUCCUCCAUUUUUAUUCUCAGCAGUUGAAGUCGAUUCCCAAUUGCAGCGUUUCUUCCUUGUUGUUGUAUCUCUCUUUGUUGCUCUUCUUCUUUGUCUCUUUCCAAUUCUAAAGACUCGAUCACAUUCUCAAAGGAAUAUGGUGAGAUUUAUAGCUAACGAUAGUUUUAUCUCAAUUUUGUGUUUGUUCUUAGGUUUAAUGACUUCUGGCAUGAUUUUGAGAAAUUAAACAGUUUCAGGUCACUUUGCCAAAAGUGAAUAAAUUGGUUUUCACUGGCUGGAUUUGCUUCUCCAUGUAAUUUUUAUCAUCGGUUAACUAAUUUUAGCUUUGAGAGAACUUACCCAACAAUUUUGCUAGCUAUUCUGGUUCAAAAGCAAGGUAAUUAAGCUCAAUUCCUUUGCGAUUUUUUUCACUUUAUUCAUUUAUUUUAUGGCAUAAUCAAGAGAAUUUAUUACAUGCCCUUAGUGCUCAGGAGUUUAUAGACUUUUGUGGUUAUUUUUAUGUAUUUUUUGUAAUUCUUUAAAAUAUUUUUAAUGCGACCUAAGGGGAGAUAAUAGGAGUUUACUCUCGUUUUAAAGAGUCCAGCCCAUAUUGCAGAUGGACAAUGGAAUCGCCUGAGAAACUCAAUACAGUCGUUGUCUUGAAACAACGAGAUAGCAGCCGUUGGCAGAAGGUACAUUUGAAGCUUUAGUGCACUCCAUCCUCUAGUUUAUAUAUUUGUCCGAUUAUCAUGCUACUGAUAUUAGGUGUUAUUUGUAAUUCUGUCAUAAAUGCCUGUAAACAACUCUCCCUGUUCUUGGAGACUGGGGACACACAAAUAGUUUAGGAGAAAUCCCAACUUUGGAGCAUAAUCAUUUCAAGAAAGUGGAAAAUGACAAUCAAGUAUUGCUGUUUUAGACCAAGUAAUUCCUGAUUUAAUCCUUAAAAAUGGUUACAAGGCAUACAAACUACUUAAAAAUGCACUUGCUUAUGGUAGCAAGAAUUUUUGCGUCACACUAUGAUAUGGUAUGAUAAUAUUGUAACACAAAAUUGUUAAGCAUGAUUGCCUCUACGGGUAUAAUAUUAGGCCCACCUUCUCUCAUUAUUAACUUGGUGUUACUACUUGUAGCAACUUUGGUUAAUUCUUUUACGAGUUCCAGUUUCUUAUAUGUGUGUGUGUUAUUCUGCCCAGAUUAAUACAUGCAAUGGCUUCUAGUUGGCUAUAUCCCAAAUAAGCUUAUAAACCCAGGAUGCAGACUGAAGACUGGACUGGCUGGUAAAUUAUUGCUUAUUUUUUCAUAGAUGGGUUGACAAAAUUUUUGAAGUUUUAUAACAGGAAAUUCACUGUCUUAUGUCUUCAUUUGCAUGCUACUUCCCAAAUAAGCUUAUAAACUCAAAAUUUUUGAAGUUUUUAUGCAAAAUGGUCUGUUUUCUUACGAGAAAGUUUGGGGAUCUAUUUAGUAGAAGACAAGUGCUAAACUUCUCCUUCAAUUAUGUCCCUUUAACCUUGUGAUCUAUAUCAAUUCAUGCGCUCAAUAUACCUAUAAGGGUACCACUACUAAUGGUAGGAAGGUUGUGCUCAAUAAGCUUGGGUUGUCCAGAUGCAAGGUAAUUAAGCUUAUAUGAUCUGCAAUUCAUUUUUAUUUAUAUGCACCUUUUAUCAUAUUUAUGGAGAAUGAUUAAAAGUUGUUCAAUGUUGGCAGUUGAUAGGUUCUAAAUGUGGAAUUUUAUGGUGUUUUUGCCUUCUGUUGUUUUGGAAUUUAAAGUGAUUAAGGUGAAAUAAUGGGGAUCUAGCAUCAAAUUUUGAAUAGCAUUCAACUUUAAUUCCAAAGUUUCUGAUUUCGGCUAAUUUUCUAAUUCCCAGCAAUAGUGUACUUCAUAUCAUUAGCUUUUGACGAUGCAUUUAUUAUCGCAUGGAUUUUGGCUUCAUUUUUUUGCUAUUUAUACUUUAUUUUGAAUGAAAUUUUUCAGAAAAAAAGAUUUUUUUGAUUUAAAUAAUGGCUACUCUGCCAUUCAUUGUCAUAGACCCAUUGUCAUGCCUACUCUGCCAUUCAUGGUCACAGAGUUACUUCCCAAAGCAGCUCAAAUUCCGUUAGUCCAUUGGUCAUGCUCCCAUAUCCUGAACCCCUAAUGCCAAUGUGUGUUGGUUACCCCAUCUCCAACGAUGCAGUUAUUACUAGUUAGACCCAUAUUAUUGCUUGUUGAUAUUAAUUUCAUGUCAUUCGCCAUUAUUGAUGCCCAUGAUACCACCACCAAGCUGAUUUGACAUCAUCGUUUCAUGUAUGAUUUUUUGAACAGAACUCUGGGAAUCAUUUGCAUCUGUGUCACUAGAAAGUGCUGGCUGCUGCAUUGCAAUGUUCGGUGAACUAGCAGAAUUCGUGUGCAUUCCGGUCGGUAAGCCACCAAGUGAAGUCUGUGGAGGAUCGUUAGAUGAUGAUGCCGUUGGAGACUGGAAAGGAGAAGGAUUGAGUUGCGGUUGUAGUAAGGUACUCAAGGAACACUAGGAGAUGGCAUCUGAACACCAUUUCCUCCGUAAGGACCAUUUGCGCUACUCUUCGGGUUUUUGCUAUCUCGAGUUCAUUGAGUUUUGAUGACGCAGCCCAGUUAUAUAUGGCACUAGUAGAGGAAGUUGCAGGAGCCGAAUUCAGUGGAUUAUUUACGUUUGCCAUGCCAUUUCUGGAAGGAAGUUGCAAUUAUUACAAAAAAUGUUUCAAUGUGGCCUAACCAUAUUGAAACGUGAUGACUUUUGCAAAAUUAUUUGAAAUUAGGAACUACUUGUGCCUUUUAGAAUUAGGUUAUGAUGAUGAAUUUGGAAAUUUGCAGUGAUUGUUUCCAUUUAGAUAGUGAAUUGAAUUACUUACUUGAAAGGGAAAUGUACUACAAGCAUGAAAAAUAAUUCAUAAAAUAUGCAAAAAGUGUAAAUCACUGCAGUGCAUCUGUUUAUUGAAGGAGACUAUUUAAUAUUUGUGACGCAAUUUUUGUGCUGCAUGAUUAUUUGCGGCACAAAGCAUAUUUUGUGGCACUAAUAUGUGUCACUAAUUGAGCCGCAAAUGCUUGCGACACAUUUAAACGAAGUGUCGUUUUCUUUUGUAACGGCUACUUUUGAGGCACAAAGGACUUGUGCCGCAAAAGCGCCGCAAAUACUUUUUUGCGGCGCUUUUUGGGCUUUUUGUGGCACAUUCUGGGCGUCGCAACAAGCUAUUUUUCUUGUAGUGUCCUGUAGGAUAUUUAUGUCCAUGUAUCACCACAACAGGGGUAGUUAAAUUCUUGCAUUACAAAUUUUUUUAAUUACAUUGCAUUUUUUUUAUUGGAUUACAUGUUUUUUAUUUCGUUGUUGGUGUUGGAAAAGCUAGUAAUUGACUGGUUUUAAAGGAGAGGCAAAGUGUAUAUUCCUUUUAUUCAGGUCGCCUAGGUGCAAUUAGUCCCUAGUUCAAGAGGGCAAAGUGUAGCCCAUUUAUCGUACGGUAGACUCUAUUGAUAUUGGCAUCUAGUAGAAACUAAAUAGUUUCCAGUGCUUACUUGUAAAAGGGUAUAUUUUUCAUCCUUUUGACAAGAGGUACUUUUAGAAACCUACCCAAGAUUUAUAUUAAUAUCACUUGGCACCUCUAAAAUUUUUAAAAAUCCCUAGCCUCCCCUAUAACCAUCCAUUUUGUAACAAUCUCACCCUUGUAUUAUUAAAAUACUCUUACAAUAAUCAUUUAAUGAGAAUAUCUUUCUACCAAUUCUACCCUUUUUUGCUGUUUUAUAUUGAAUUUUCUAUCAAUUUGAUUAUAAUAUACAAGGUUUACAUAUUUUGCCUAAAAAUUUUAUUUUUCAUAGUGUUUUGCAUAAAAAUUGCUAAAGUAGCGAAGAUAAUUUUGUCAAUUCAUAUAGUACACAAUAGUUAUUAAUGGUCCCAUCUCAUGACUAGUGCAGGACUUGAGUGAUAUUUUUGAAACUUCAAAGGUGUCAAAUGAUAUUACCAUAGGUUUCAGGAGAGGUUUCUGAAUUAUAUAUCGCUAACCAAAAGGGUUAAAGGCAUACACUUAUACGAGUCCAAGAGGCAAAAGUAUAUACCUAAUAAUUGGAGGGUUAAAAGUCAAUCAACUAUAUAAUUCGAGUGCCAUUCAAAUAUUUUGCCCAAAAAAAAUAGCCGGACCAAUGUAUGUAUGAUACUCUCCUAAACAUAGUAUUGUGGAAACAGCAAAAACAUAAGAAAUUUACCUUCCAUGAAUGAUAAAUAUGCUGGAGCUAAACUUGCCCCGCUGCCAAGAUUCAUUCAACUCCGUAGUUGUUCGGGCAACUUACCUCUCUUUAAUAUUUUAUGGUCCAAAUUGGGCGGUCCCAAGAUUGAAAAUAAAAUCUGUGAUCUAAUCGAAAGCGGCUGCAAUAUUAAACAAAUUUCGGCGAGUAGCUAUGAAGGACUAAAACUUAUCAGUAUUUCUUUUUCUUUUUUUUUUAAAUUAUCCAAAAGUUGUCAUUAGUUGAAUAGGCAAAUAUCUGAUGCUCUUGAAGAUUGAGACUUACGUGGUAGCAUGUUGUUGACAGUCGUAAAGAUUUAAUAGUUUCAAGGAAAUGUAAAGUUCCACAAAUUUUUUGCAUUUACCGCUAUAGUGGGACAACAAAAUGGACUUUACAAAUUGGGCACUUUGCCAACAAAAUUAGUUUGUAGUGCGACACGAUUUUCAAUUUCCUUUAAAAUUAAAUUUUGGCAUUAUAUAAUCACAGAUGCCCUCCCUCAAGACUUGAUCCUCAAAUCCUAUCUGACAAUUGUCCAUGAAAUGUUGUCCCUUGGAUCAAACUUUUCCUUUGGUAGAAUUAAUUGUGGUAUACCUAUUGAGAUAUUCGUGCACUCUGUCAAUUUUUUUUCAUAUCUUUAACUUGUAAAAUAUAGUACCUUUUUUUCUUCUUGACUUGUUCAUUUGUAUAGACGUCCACGGCAUCUCUUACUUUCUCAUAUAUUUCGUCUCAUUCGUAAUGGUUAAUAAGACCAAACCUAAUGUUGGUAGAAGUUUCUCCACUACUCAUGUGAGAGGUGACACUGUUUGAGUGAUGAUUUGUGUAUUCCACAAUUGAUACGCAUAUGCAAGUUUUCCGGUGCCAUCACAAUCAAAAGACAAAUAAAUUCCUUAGCACGCAAGUUCCACAAAGGUACAGUUUGAAAGUUGAUUUUUUCAAUCUGAAGACAAAUUGCAAGCUGACAGGUGACUAAGUACCCAAGCCUAACUCGAGGAUUAGGCCCUAAAGCUAUCUCACUUUAGAAGAGGAUCACAAUUUUCUCUUGGAUUCUCCACUAAUGCCUCCAAAUUAGAUAAGGCCAAGUUUAAAAAAAUGAAUUUCCUUGUCAAGGUCAUUUUCGGUUGUCCUUGUAUGCUUGUAAAACAGUGUCAUAGCUUCACCGAAUAGUUAAUUUCCAGGAUGAAAAGUCCAGGACUUUUCAUUUAAUUGAUUGAUCUAAACAGAUUAAAUAACACCUCAUCUUAGUUUGAUCCCUACUCUAUUUGCAAUCUGAAUUGAAUGCAUACCAAACAAGGUGUCCUUUCCUUCAAAAUUUCAAUGGCUUCCACAACUAAAUUCAUCUUACUAUCUUUAACCCUCUGUGUUCUCCAUCUUAACUUCUGUCAUGGACAAAAUGCUGUCAACGCAGGCUACUGGUUUCCAGAUAGUGGAAUUGAAAUCUCAGACAUUGAUUCCACUCUUUUCACUCAUCUGUUUUGUGCAUUUGCUGAUCUUGAUCCCGAAUCCAAUGAAGUCACCAUAUCCGCCUCAAAUGCUGGCCCCUUUUCACAAUUCACCGAAACAGUUCAACUCAAAAACCCUUCAGUUAAAACCCUUCUAUCCAUUGGUGGUGGAAAUUCUAAUAGAGAUGAUUUUGCUUCAAUGGCUAGUCAGCCAACUUCUCGCAAAUCAUUCAUUGAUUCUUCAAUAAACUUGGCCAGAGCCAACAGUUUCCACGGUCUAGACUUGGACUGGGAAUCCCCACAAUCCGAUCUUGAGAUGACGAACUUAGGGUCACUCCUGGAUGAAUGGCGAGCCGCAGUGGCAACUGAGGCCCAGAACUCAGGCAAGCCACAGCUGAUUUUAACAGCUGCAGUUUCAUAUGCAUCAAAGGUGGAUGGGUUAUAUCAAUAUCCUAUUACAUCAGUAUCCAGAAGCCUGGAUUGGAUAAAUCUUAUGGCUUAUGAUUUUUACGCUCCAGAUCGUCCAAGUACAUCUACCAGGUGUCAUGCUGCAUUAAAGGACCCUACAGGUCAAGCUAGUGGAAGUUCUGGCAUUGCAGACUGGGAAAAUGCUGGAGUCGGGGCAAAGAAGUUGGUUCUGGGCAUCCCAUUUUACGGAUAUGCUUGGCGAUUGGCAAACGCAAAUAACCAUGGGAUCCUGGCUCCGGCAAACGGAGCUGCUGGUCCGGAUAAUGGAGCCGAGCAGUACCGAGCUAUAAGGACCUUUGUAGCUCAAACCCCGGGGGCAGUUGUGGUGUAUAAUUCCACAUAUGUCUGCAAUUACUGCUAUGCUGGAACAACAUGGAUCGGUUAUGAUGAUACUCAAACAGUUUCCACCAAGGUUUCAUAUGCUAAACAAAAUGGACUUCUUGGGUACUUUGCUUGGCAUAUUGGAGCUGAUGACAACUUUGCACUAUCACGACAAGGUCAGUUAUUGACGUGAUUCCAAGAUAAGCAAUUCCCUGUCUGAUUAGAUUUAUCAUUUAUGGAGAAAAUGACCUCAUACGCCCUGAAAAAUUGAGUCUCUAACUGCACCUAAUAAUUGGCUAUGGAACAUUGUCCGUCGAGCUAAUAUUUUACUGUGCCUAGAAUUGAAUGUAUGUUUUUUGAAAUUUUUUCAUUUACAACAUUUAAGAACUACCCUUUUUAGCAAAUGAUAUUUGCAGUCCAUACAUAAUAAUUCUCCGGUAUUAUACUUAUUUUCAUGUAAUAAAAUGUUAAAUUGGAGUGUCAAAAACUAUUUUUAGAGCAGAAUUACCUUUUUUUCUAACUUGUUCACUUGUACAUACAUCCACAAUAUCUAAAAAAUUCUACAAUUCUCAUCUUUGCAAGUUGUAACUAACGCCUACUUUUUACUUGAAUGUAGCUAGCCAAGCAUGGGCAGAUGGAAGUGGUGCUGGAAGCCAUUUGACGUUGCUCCUAGCAAGCCAAAAGAGAGCUGGCAUUGUUGAAUAAUGAUAUCAUUGCUAUGUGCACUCUAUCAAAAGAUGAAUAAAUGUCUUACAGUUUGAAAAUUGAUGUUCAUCAUGUGAAGACUAAUUGCAAACUGACAGGUGGCUAAAUCAAGGAUUAGGCCUAAGCCUUUUUGACUUAGGUAAAGGCGAAGAGAGCAUAAAGAAAUUGAAACAAUGAAAAGAAUGCGUUCCCGUGUCAAGAUCAUCUCUUACAUUGACGGUCAUAGGAUAAUUGAUUGCCAGUAUGAAAAAUUCCAGGCUUUUCAAUUAAUUGAUUGGUCUUUAGAGGGAAUUGACAAUCGAGACACUGAUUAAUGGGAUAUAGAUUGUCAAAAAUUGUUAGUUGUUAACCAAACUUUGCCCGACUGAAGUAAGGGGUUCAUCACAAUUUGCCCAUAAAAGAUAAAAAACAAUAGAUAUCAACGGACAUUAUACUUUUCAACAUCCUAAAAGCAUGUGAAUUUUUGUUUUUUUUUCUUCCAGGUUUGCCUCAGAAUGAUUCCUAAACAAAGGCUACUUCUUUUUUUUGGUAAUAACAAAGGCUGCUUCAGCAGCCGUUAGGCCUAACAUUUGGAAGAUGGUCAAAGCAGCAAAAAGUCUCAAAAUUUAUCAAAACUAUACACAAUUGGACGAGUUGAUAUUGGAUUUUCACUUAAAUGGGUUAAUCCUAACUUGUCCAACUUUAGAUUGGGUUGAUUUUGAGUUGGAUCAUCUUAAACCCAUAACCUAAAUAUGACCCAACAUAUUAAUUAAUACAUUGUGAUACAUAAACUCUCUCUUAUACAUUUACAUACACAAAAAGAUUUUUUUUCACAUAUAUAAACACAUUUUCACAUAAAUAAAUAAAUAUAUUUUCACACACACUCACUUCUUAAUUUUCUUGGAAACACAUCAUAAAUAGAAUAAUAUUUUUAUAUUGCUUGUGUUGCGAAUUUUAGAUAAUAAAUUGUACAUUUAAAUAUAUUAGUAAAAAAAAUUAUUUACUUUAUACUUUUUAAUACUACUAAUUGAUUGAAACUUAUUUUUGUCACAAUUUAUUUAGCACUUUUAUUAUUCAUAUCUACUUUAUUGUAAGUUGUAAUAUUCUAUGUACACGAAUACCAAUUAGGAUGUUGAGCAAUUCAAUAAAAUUUCAACACGAAAUGGUAGAUAUUUGCCAAAUUUGGUAAAGGUAAGGGACAGUUGUUGAUUGUGAAUAAACAGAAGCAAGUAACAAUCGGAGAACAAAAAAAAAAAACUGGGAGAAAAACAAUGUACUCUUAAAAGGCAUAAUAAAUUAUUAUAGAUGUUGAACAAGUUUAAUUAAUGUUGUAAAAGUAAAAUAAGCAUGAGUUUUUAUUUCAAGUUUCUUUUAAAUAAAUAUUAAAAAAAUUGAUUGAAAACAUACAUAUGAAAAUUUUGAAUACAAAUUGGUCAAUGAAUUGUUAACACAUAUCCAAAUGCAAGUGGUUGGGCAUAUGUGUAUUGAAUCUUGUAUUUAUUAUUUUGAAUUAUUUUUUAACAAGUUGGGUAUUGGGUGUUCAAAUAAAAAAUCCAACCCCCCAAUAAAUAAGUUGGUUCGUUCUUUUUUAACCCAACAAAACUCAUAAUCCAACUAACCCAAUCCAUCCUUUAAAAUUAGUGGGCGCAUUGGGCGGGUUGUUGGGUUUUGGACUUUUUCGCCAGCUCUAAUCAAAACUCUUGCAUUAAUUCUUAAUUUAGCAUUUUCUAUUUUUGAAGGAAAAGAAAGUUAGCCAAAGCAGUAAAAGGAAUUUUGUUGAUCAUCUACCAUUGGCACUUCUAUUCUUGAAUGGCCAAGGGCAUCCAUGAGGGAUGGCUGAUAUUAUUUUGGCUUCAAUAACUAUAUUGCCUCUAAAAUUGCUUGCACGAUUUUCUGGCCACAUUGAUCUGUUUACAUUUUGUUUUAUUUGUUUGUUCCUUGUAUUUCCUGUAGGAUAUUUAUGUCAUGCAUCACCACAAUAGGGCUGUUAUAUCGUUGCAUUACUUUUUUUUUUUUGUUUUUUAGUUUCAUUGUUGGUGUCGGUAAAGCUAAUAUUUGACUGGUUCUAUAACGUACGGAUAGGCAGAGUGUAUAUUCCUUUUUAGUUCAGGCGGCCAAAGUGCAAUUACUCCCUAGUUCAAAGGGUAAAGUGUCAUUAAUCUUUUUCAAAAAUUUCCAACAUUUUAAUUUGAAUUCACCUGCAAAAAGAGAGUGAAAAUUGAGACAUAUUCAAACGAUAGACACAAAUAUGUGAAUUUCUAAGAUCGAGGAGAUGAAUUAUCAUUGAGUUUGUAUCUUUCGUAUAAGUCAUAUAUGCCGUUUAAAGUAAGGUUGUCGAUCUUCUAAUUUUUACCCAAUUUAUCUAUCAUAGAGUAUAGUGUAUUGAUAAUGACAUCUAGUAGAAACUAAAUAGUUUCAAGAACUUAAACUUACAUAAUAAGAGAAGGUGCGUUGAUUUGGAAAAAUAUAUAUAUAUAGCCCGACCAAUAUAUGUAUGAUACUCUCCUAAACAUGGUAUUGUGGGAACAGCAUAAACAUGAGAAAAAUUGCUCUCCAUAAAUGAUAAAUGUGCUGGAGGUAAACUUCCCUCGCUGCCAAGAUUCAUUCGACUCCGUAAUUGGUCGGGCAACUUAACUGUCUUUAAUAUUUUGUGGACCAAACUGGCAGGUCCCAAGAUUGAAAAUAACAUCUGUCAUUUAAUCGAAAGUGGCUGCAAUAUUACUAAACAAAUUUCAGUGUGUAGCUACUGAGUACUGAAAGUUGUCACUAGUUUAAUAGGCAAAUAUCUGAUACCCUUGAACAUUGAGACAUGUAGUAGCAUGUUGUUGGCAGCUGUAGAGAUUUAAUAGUUUGAAGGAAAUGUAUAGUUUCACAAUUUUUUGCAAAUACCGCUAUACUGGAAUAACAUGGAGUGUUGAUGAAAGUUUCAAAUGCUAACCAAAAUGGACUUUACAAAUUGGGAACUUUACCAACAAAAUUAGUUUGUAGUGUGACACGAUUUUCAAUUUCCUUUAAAAUUAAAUUUUGGCAUUAUAUAAUCACAGAUGCCCUCAAGACUUGAUCCUCAAAUCCUAUCUGACAAUUGUCUAUGAAAUGUUGUCCCUUGGAUCAAAUUUUUCCUUUGGUAGAAUUAAUUGUACUAUACUUGUUGAGAAAUUCGUGCACUCUGUCAAUUUUUUUUUCAUGUCUUUAGCUCGUAAAAUAGAGAACCUUUUUCUUGACUUCUUCGUUUGUAUAGACAUCCACGGUAUCUCUUAGUUUCUCAUAUCUUUCUGAUUCACAGUGGUUAAUAAGACUAAACCUAAUGCUGGUUGAAGGUUCUCCACUACUCAUAAAUAUAUAUAUAUUUUUGUCACAACGAUAGGAUUCCUAUAACCUAAUCUAGGAGGAGGGGGAGGGGGAGGGGGAGAGGGAAGGAGAAGGGACUCGAUGUGAGUAGAAACUCCAUUGAAGAUGGCUACUGAAUACCGUCACAUAUUGUGACAAAUUUUUGUCUCCACUGCUCAUAUGAGAGCUGACAAUUUUGAGUGAUGAUUUGUUUAUUCCACAAUAGAUAUAUUAGCAAGUUUUCUGGUGCCCAUCACAAUCAAAAGACAAAUAAAUUUCUUAGUACGCAAGUUCCACGAAAGCGACAGCUUGAAAGUUGGUUUUGAAGACAAAUUGCUAACUGACAGGUUACUAAGUACUCAAGCCUAACUCCAGGAUUAGGCCCUAAGGCUAUCUCACUUAGAAGCGGAUCACAUUUUUCUCUUAGAUUGUCCACUAAUUAUGCCUCUAAAUUAGGCAAGGCCAAGAGAGCACAGACCAAUGGAAAACUUAAAAAAAAAAAAAAUUGAAUUUCCUUGUCAAAAUCAUUUUCAGUUGACCGUUUAUGCUUGUAAAAAUAGUGCCAAAGCUUCACCGAAUAGUUAAUUUCCAGUAUGAAAAUUCCAGUGUCAUAGCUUCACUGAAUAGUUAAUUUCCAGUAUGAAAAAUUCCAGGACUUUUCAUUUAAUUGAUUGAUCUAAACAAAUUAAAUCAAACCACGUCUUAGUUUGAUCCCUACUCUAUUUGCAUUCUGAAUUGAAUAAAUACCAAACAAGGUGUCCGUUCCUUCAAAAUUUCCAUGGCUUCGACAAUCAAAUUCAUCUUACUAUCUUUAACUCUCUGUGUUCUCCAUCUUAACUUCUGUCAUGGACAGAAUGCUGUCAAAGCAGGCUACUGGUUUCCAGAUAGUGGAAUUGAAAUCUCAGACAUUGAUUCCACUCUUUUCACUCAUCUAUUUUGCGCAUUUGCUGAUCUUGAUUCCCAAUCCAAUAAAGUCACCAUAUCCUCCUCAAACGCUGGCCCCUUUUCACAAUUCACCAAAACAGUUCAACUCAAAAACCCUUCAGUUAAAACCCUUCUAUCUAUUGGUGGUGGAAGUUCUAAUAGGACUGCUUUUGCUUCAAUGGCUAGUCAACCAACUUCUCGCAAAUCAUUCAUUAAUUCCUCAAUAAAAUUGGCCCGAGCCAACAGUUUCCACGGUCUAGACCUGGACUGGGAAUACCCACAAUCCGCUUCUGAGAUGAAAAACUUGGGCUCACUCCUGGAUGAAUGGCGAGCCGCGGUGGCAACUGAGGCCAAGAACUCAGGCAAGCCACAGCUGAUUUUGACAGCUGCAGUUUCGUUUGCAUCAAAGGUGGAUGGAUUGUAUCAGUAUCCUAUUCCAUCAGUAUCCAGAAGCCUGGAUUGGAUAAAUCUUAUGGCUUAUGAUUUUUACGCUCCAGAUCGUCCAAGUACUUCUACCAGGUGUCACGCUGCAUUAAAGGACCCUUCUGGCCAAGCUAGUGGAAGUUCUGGCAUUGCAGAUUGGGAAAAUGCUGGAGUCGGGGCAAAGAAGUUGGUUCUCGGAAUCCCAUUUUACGGAUAUGCUUGGCGAUUGGUAAAAGCGAAUAAUCAUGGGAUCCUGGCUCCGGCAAAUGGAGCUGCUGGUCCGGAUAAUGGAGUCAAGCGGUACCAAGAUAUAAGGACCUUUGUAGCUCAAACCCCGGGGGCGGUUGUGGUGUAUAAUUCCACAUAUGUCUGCAAUUACUGCUAUGCUGGAACAACAUGGAUCGGUUAUGAUGAUAAUCAAACAAUUUCCACCAAGGUUUC